This 614-nucleotide long non-coding RNA is filed under the name Anser cygnoides (Swan goose). RNAcentral's name for it is "lncRNA (ENSACDG00005018413.1)". The record is from RNAcentral. Lineage: Eukaryota; Metazoa; Chordata; Aves; Anseriformes; Anatidae.
GAGAAAACGAAGUUCCAUCUGAAGACGCCCUAAUACUACAGCUGCACCUUGCAAAAGGACACGAGAAAUUUACUGAAAUGCUAAAAAGCCAGCAGCAAAUCAUUGUGGAUUUGCAGCAAAAACUUGCUGAACAGCAGCACAUGCUGGUUAGCCAGCAAAAGGAGAUUCUUGAACAGCAAAGAAAAAUGUAUGAGCAAAUGGAUCUGAUCAAAGUCCAGUAUGGCAUGCUUUUUGACACAGUGAAACAAAUGUCAUUUCAGAGUUUGCAAGAAGAUAUUCAAAAUUAUUUUGAAAGUCAUCUUCAAGGACUUCAGAACCAGGUCAGGAAUCAUCUCCAGAAGUCAUACUCUGUCCAUAAAGUAGAAGUGGAUGCAAAAGUGAUUAAUGUUGGGGAGUCUUUGCUGGACUGUGGUCUUUGUGAAAGUGAUGAAUUUUGCAAUUUCCAAAAGACACCUUCACAAUGUGAAAAAUGUACAUUGUGUCCUGCUGGUUUUUUCCAAAUGGCUGAGUGUUCUGCAAACUCUGAUCGGAUUUGCCAGGACAGAGAUGAAUGUACUGAAUCUCCAAGCAUUUGUGGUGAGAGGAUAAAGUGUCUGAAUACUCCAGGUGCCUGA